Long non-coding RNA from Capsicum annuum, 1509 nucleotides. RefSeq lists it as uncharacterized. The record is from RefSeq and is a predicted model, not a curated record. The transcript has 4 exons. Lineage: Eukaryota; Viridiplantae; Streptophyta; Magnoliopsida; Solanales; Solanaceae.
AAUUUCUUACUUCACCAAAACUCAAUAUUACAAUAGAAAAUCAACGUACAACCAAUAACAACCAACAAAACAACAACAAAAAAAUACUUCCAAAACAAUUCAAAUGUUGAAAUUAAGCAAUCAAACCUCAUGCAUAUUCAUCCAACUUAAAUAAUAUGCAAAGCAUCAAAAAAGUAUGCAAACAAUCACCAAAAUAAAUUUUUUCACACAUUCCAAACUAAUAAAAUCAAAAACUAAAAUAACACAACCAUCUAAUACUCCAUUCCAUCCUCCUCAUCCUCUCCACCAUCAUCAUCAGAGCUAGGGGCGGAGAACGAGGAAGCUCGAUCAAGAGGCGGAGGAAGUUCUUCUCAGAGCAAAGACCGUAUGCCCUUCCCUUGUACACGCCUCCAACUAUAUCCGGCCAGCAGGAGAGAGUUUCUUCAUCUGACGGCAUGAUUGAAUUGUCUUAAUCAUCUAUCGGUCGAUUCCUUUUGAGCUCUUCGAUUGCUUGAACAUAUCGAUUCUACAUUAAAAGUAAAAUUAGUAUAUAAUCAACGGUAUGAAAUAAAUUCUAGGUAAGAUUUGAACUACACUUAAUCAUUUUCAAAAAACAAGUUCACAUUUUCAAGUUACUACACUUUACCAUUUUCUAGUAACUAAUUCACAUUUCUAGUGAUUAGACUUAAUCAUUUUCUAGUCACUAAUUUACAUUUCAAGUCGCUACUUUUAAUCAUUUUCAACUCACUAGUACACAUAUCAAGUAAGUCACAUUUCAAGUCACUACACUUAACCAUUUUUAACUCACCAAUACACAAUUCAAGUAACUAAUUCACAUUUCAAGUCACCAUACUUAAUCAUUUUCAACUCACUAAUACACAUUUCAAGCGACUAUACUUAAACCAUUUUCAAGUCACAAAUUCAUAUUUUCGAGUUAUUAGUUCACUACUUCAAGUGAUCACACUUCAACCAUUUUCAAAACACAAGUUUACAUUUUCAAGUCACAAAUUCACAUUUCAAAACACUAUACUUAACCACUUUCAAGUAACUAAUUCACAUUUCAACUCACUAUACUUAACUAUUUUCAACUCACUGCAUGACAUAUGCUACAGCUCAUCUCAACACAAUGUUUAGACAACUUUCCAAUCUUGUUUUUACUUUGCUCCUUUCUUCUAGAUUUGUCAGGUCUGCCUGGCAGAUUUCUUAUUGUUGGAGGUAAAACAGAAGGGUUGGUUGAUUUUGACCACAUUUGCAUAUUGGUAACAUGGUGAUUUUGAUGGUUCUAAUUUCUUAGUUGAUCAGGUUGAUGAGAGUGCUGAUGCAGUUGGAAUUAAAAAGCUUUGCAGCUUCAUCCAGAUAAGAAUAAACAUCCCAACGCUGAAAUUGCAUUAAGUUGGUUUCCCAGGCAUAUGUUUGCCUGACGGAUGAAGCAAGCAGAGAGGCUUUUGAAACAAACAGAAGAAAGCGGUAAGUGCUGCAUAGAAUCAAGUGAAAAAAAACACCUAGCUAUGGAAAUGCUGCAAAGGUGGC